RNAcentral lists this ribosomal RNA (394 nucleotides) under Shigella flexneri. RNAcentral's name for it is "bacterial SSU rRNA". It matches the Rfam family "Bacterial small subunit ribosomal RNA", at positions 76 to 470 of the family's 1533-position model. RNAcentral also lists the same sequence under 1 other name. The record is from RNAcentral. Lineage: Bacteria; Pseudomonadati; Pseudomonadota; Gammaproteobacteria; Enterobacterales; Enterobacteriaceae.
CAGCUUGCUGUUUCGCUGACGAGUGGCGGACGGGUGAGUAAUGUCUGGGAAACUGCCUGAUGGAGGGGGAUAACUACUGGAAACGGUAGCUAAUACCGCAUAACGUCGCAAGACCAAAGAGGGGGACCUUCGGGCCUCUUGCCAUCGGAUGUGCCCAGAUGGGAUUAGCUAGUAGGUGGGGUAACGGCUCACCUAGGCGACGAUCCCUAGCUGGUCUGAGAGGAUGACCAGCCACACUGGAACUGAGACACGGUCCAGACUCCUACGGGAGGCAGCAGUGGGGAAUAUUGCACAAUGGGCGCAAGCCUGAUGCAGCCAUGCCGCGUGUAUGAAGAAGGCCUUCGGGUUGUAAAGUACUUUCAGCGGGGAGGAAGGGAGUAAAGUUAAUACCUUU